Molecule: long non-coding RNA, 322 nt
Filed under: Salvia miltiorrhiza (redroot sage)
Lineage: Eukaryota; Viridiplantae; Streptophyta; Magnoliopsida; Lamiales; Lamiaceae
Description: long non-coding RNA (SMIL_LNC008907)
Source: RNAcentral
CCUUUCCUAUAGGCGAUAAAGGGGAUACACGAAGAAAGGCUAGUGCCCCAGAUCUCGGGUUUCGACAGAUUGGAUUCAAAGGCGAUAAGAGAUUCAGUAAGAAAGAUUCAAGAUUCGGUCAUGUUUCAGUCAGUCAUGUCGAUUCACUAUUCAUCGGUGACGACAACUAGCCCUUCGUAGGGAAAUUCCUUAGAAGAAUAAGAGGCAUACUGGCUUUUCCUCUAUGGCUUUGAGAAUAGAAGAGUGCCCGCUGAAUCUGUUCUAUUUCGAGUGCCUGGUGAAUCUCUUCUUAUGGAGUGGUACCCAUUUUGUCUAGUUGACU